CCUCACCGGUUACUGACCUUAGCCAAACUCCGAAUGCCGGUAAGUGAGAGCGUGGCAGUGAGACUGUGGGGGAUAAGCUCCAUGGUCGAGAGGGAAACAGCCCAGAACACCGACUAAGGUCCCUAAGCGUGUGCUAAGUGGGAAAGGAUGUGGAGUCGCACAGACAACCAGGAGGUUGGCUUAGAAGCAGCCAUCCUUGAAAGAGUGCGUAAUAGCUCACUGGUCAAGUGAUUCCGCGCCGACAAUGUAGCGGGGCUCAAGCACACCACCGAAGUCGUGUCAUUGCAGCAUGAAGGGCCAACGCCUGCUGUGAUGGGUAGGGGAGCGUCGUGUGCCGGGUGAAGCAGCGGAGGAAUCCAGUUGUGGACGGUUCACGAGUGAGAAUGCAGGCAUGAGUAGCGAUACAAGAGUGGGAAACUCUUGCGCCGAUUGACCAAGGGUUCCUGGGUCAAGCUGAUCUGCCCAGGGUAAGUCGGGACCUAAGGCGAGGCCGACAGGCGUAGUCGAUGGACAGCGGGUUGAUAUUCCCGUACCCGCUUUGAAGCGCCAACGUCGAACCUCUGAAUGCUAAAGCCGCGAAGCCGGCCUGGAGUCUUCGGACGAAGGGACGUGGUGGAGCCGCUGACCCAACAGGGUAGUAGGUGAGCGAUGGGGUGACGCAGGAAGGUAGUCCAGCCCGGGCGGUGGUUGUCCCGGGGUAAGGGUGUAGGCCGAGUGAUAGGCAAAUCCGUCACUCAUUGAGGCUGAGACCUGAUGCCGAGCCGAUUGUGGUGAAGUGGAUGAUCCUAUGCUGUCGAGAAAAGCCUCUAGCGAGUUUCAUGGCGGCCCGUACCCCAAACCGACUCAGGUGGUCAGGUAGAGAAUACCGAGGCGUUCGGGUGAACUAUGGUUAAGGAACUCGGCAAAAUGCCCCCGUAACUUCGGGAGAAGGGGGGCCACACCUGGUGAUGGGAUUUACUUCCUGAGCUGGGGGUGGCCGCAGAGACCAGCGAGAAGCGACUGUUUACUAAAAACACAGGUCCGUGCGAAGCCGUAAGGCGAUGUAUACGGACUGACGCCUGCCCGGUGCUGGAACGUUAAGGGGACCGGUUAGUCUAGUUUCGACUAGGCGAAGCUGAGAACUUAAGCGCCAGUAAACGGCGGUGGUAACUAUAACCAUCCUAAGGUAGCGAAAUUCCUUGUCGGGUAAGUUCCGACCUGCACGAAUGGCGUAACGACUUCUCGACUGUCUCAACCAUAGGCCCGGUGAAAUUGCAUUACGAGUAAAGAUGCUCGUUUCGCGCAGCAGGACGGAAAGACCCCGGGACCUUUACUAUAGCUUGAUAUUGGUGUUCGGUUCGGCUUGUGUAGGAUAGGUGGGAGACUGUGAAGCGGCAACGCCAGUUGUCGUGGAGUCGACGUUGAAAUACCACUCUGGUCGUGCUGGAUGUCUAACCUAGGUCCGUGAUCCGGAUCAGGGACAGUGUCUGGUGGGUAGUUUAACUGGGGCGGUUGCCUCCUAAAGAGUAACGGAGGCGCCCAAAGGUUCCCUCAGCCUGGUUGGCAAUCAGGUGUUGAGUGUAAGUGCACAAGGGAGCUUGACUGUGAGACCGACGGGUCGAGCAGGUGCGAAAGCAGGGACUAGUGAUCCGGCGGUGGCUUGUGGAAGCGCCGUCGCUCAACGGAUAAAAGGUACCCCGGGGAUAACAGGCUGAUCUUCCCCAAGAGUCCAUAUCGACGGGAUGGUUUGGCACCUCGAUGUCGGCUCGUCGCAUCCUGGGGCUGGAGUAGGUCCCAAGGGUUGGGCUGUUCGCCCAUUAAAGCGGUACGCGAGCUGGGUUUAGAACGUCGUGAGACAGUUCGGUCCCUAUCCGCUGUGCGCGUAGGAAUAUUGAGAAGGGCUGUCCCUAGUACGAGAGGACCGGGACGGACGAACCUCUGGUGUGCCAGUUGUCCUGCCAAGGGCAUGGCUGGUUGGCUACGUUCGGGAGGGAUAACCGCUGAAAGCAUCUAAGCGGGAAGCCUGCUUCGAGAUGAGUAUUCCCACCUCCUUGAGAGGGUAAGGCUCCCAGUAGACGACUGGGUUGAUAGGCCGGAUGUGGAAGCCCAGUAAUGGGUGGAGCUGACCGGUACUAAUAGGCCGAGGGCUUGUCCU
This 2134-nucleotide ribosomal RNA is filed under the name Kitasatospora mediocidica KCTC 9733. Its description in RNAcentral is "bacterial LSU rRNA". It matches the Rfam family "Bacterial large subunit ribosomal RNA", at positions 927 to 2925 of the family's 2925-position model. The record is from RNAcentral. Lineage: Bacteria; Bacillati; Actinomycetota; Actinomycetes; Kitasatosporales; Streptomycetaceae.